RNAcentral lists this ribosomal RNA (254 nucleotides) under uncultured bacterium. RNAcentral describes it as "partial 16S ribosomal RNA". It matches the Rfam family "Bacterial small subunit ribosomal RNA", at positions 524 to 776 of the family's 1533-position model. The record is from RNAcentral.
UACGUAGGGGGCAAGCGUUGUCCGGAAUCAUUGGGCGUAAAGAGCGUGUAGGCGGCCAGAAAAGUCCGCUGUGAAAACUCGAGGCUCAACUCUGAGACGCCACUCGAUACUGCUCUGACUCGAGUCCGGUAGGGGAGCGUGGAAUUCCCGGUGUAGCGGUGAAAUGCGCAGAUAUCGGGAGGAACACCAGUGGCGAAGGCGGCGCUCUGGGCCGGAACUGACGCUGAGGAGCGAAAGCGUGGGUAGCAAACAGG